CCGCCCGCUUGCAGUUGUCAUGGUCCUCUUGUUGAGAGCAGGCCACUAUGACACUCAAGCGAGUGAAG
RNAcentral lists this microRNA precursor (68 nucleotides) under Pristionchus pacificus. RNAcentral describes it as "microRNA ppc-mir-63j precursor". Its record names the gene ppc-mir-63j. The record is from miRBase by way of RNAcentral. Lineage: Eukaryota; Metazoa; Nematoda; Chromadorea; Rhabditida; Neodiplogasteridae.